RNA transcript from Chelonia mydas (Green sea turtle), 6038 nucleotides. It is a transcript of the gene named multifunctional ROCO family signaling regulator 1, with no coding region annotated. NCBI's taxonomy places the organism in Eukaryota, Metazoa, Chordata, Testudines, Cheloniidae. The transcript has 3 exons. The record is from RefSeq and is a predicted model, not a curated record.
CGGGCGCGGAGCAUGGGGCUGGCGGCUGCCGAGGCGCCGGCGGGCUGGGGAGGGCCCGGCCCGGCGGCGAGAGGGGGCUGCGCCGAGCGCUCCGCGGCCAGGCCCGGCCGGUAGGGCAGCCGCACUCCCGCCCCGGCGGGCCAUGGCCGAGCCCGAGCCCCCCGCGGCGGCCCGGCGGUGGCGAGACGCCGCCCUGCGCGCACGGAAGCUGCGGAGCAACCUGCGGCAGCUGAGCCUCGGCCCCCGCGAGGAGCCGGAGCCCGCCGGGCCGCCCGCGCCGCGCCGCCCGCCGCUGCCCGCCGGGCCGGGCGAGCCGGCGGCGCUGAGCCUGAGCGGGCGCGGCCUGGAGGAGCUGCCCGAGGGGCUGGGCGCCGCGCUGGGCGGCCUGCGCGUCCUCAGCCUGCGCAGGAACCGCCUGUCCCGGCUCCCCGCCGCGCUGCGCCACCUGGGCCGCCUGGCCGAGCUCGACCUCAGCCACAACCGGCUGGGCGGCCUGGGGGACGGCGAGGCGCUGGCGCCGCUGCGGGAGCUGCGCAAGCUGAGCCUGAGCCACAACCAGCUGGGCGCGGACGGCGCGGCGCUGCCCGGGCGGCUGGGCGCGCUGCGGCGGCUGGAGGAGCUGGACCUGAGCUUCAACCGCCUGCGCCGCCUGCCCGAGGCGCUGGGCCGCCUGCCGCGGCUGCGCUCGCUGGACGUGGACCACAACCAGCUGCCCGCCUUCCCGGCGCCGCUGCUGGAGCUGGGCGCGCUGGAGGAGCUGGACUGCUCCGGUAACCGGCAGCUGCGCGUGCUGCCCGAGGGCAUCGCCGCCUUGCGCUGCCUCAAGAUCCUGUGGCUGAGCGGCACGGGGCUGGGCGCGCUGCCCGAGGGGCUGUGCCAGCUGGGCGCCCUGGAGAGCCUCAUGCUGGAUGGGAACCAGCUGCGGGUCCUGCCCCCCGGCUUCGGCCGCCUGCAGCGCCUCAAGAUGCUGAACCUCUCCUCCAACCUGCUGGGUGAGUUCCCCGAGGCCGUGCUCGCCCUGCCCAGCCUGGAGGAGCUCUACCUGAGCCGCAACCAGCUGCCCUUGCUGCCUGCCCGCCUCUGCCAGCUGCACCAGCUCCGCACCCUCUGGUUGGACAACAACCGGAUCCGCUACCUGCCCGACUCCAUUGUGCAGCUCCACAGCCUGGAGGAACUCGUGCUGCAGGGCAACCAGAUCGCCAUCCUGCCCGAGGGCUUUGGGCAGCUCUCCCGGGUCACCCUCUGGAAGAUCAAGGACAACCCGCUCAUUCAGCCCCCUUACGAGGUUUGCAUGAAGGGCAUCCCCUACAUUGCUGCUUACCAGCAGGAGUUGGCCCACUCCCAGCCUGCUCUCAAGCCCCGGCUCAAGCUGGUCCUCAUGGGCCUGAAGGAUGCUGGCAAGACCUUGCUGAGAAGGUGCCUGAUGGAGGAGGAGAGGCAGAGAGACUCUCCCCUGGCUGCAGCUGGCAAAGAUGGUGGGAGAACCCAGCAGCAACAAGACAUCGCUCUGGGCCUGACUCCUGAAGGUGGUGGGAAAAUACAGCUAGGACACAGCCCCAUCACUGAGCCCCGAGAUGCUUCGACUUCAAAAGGCUCCUCGGUAGGACAUACCUCCAUUGAGCAGCAGGACCCAUUGCUGUCCCCGUCCCUUAAAGUUGCUGGGAAAAUCAAGUUAGAGCACCAGGACAUCUACCUGUCUCCAUCCCCAAAAGUUAAUGGGGAAGCCCAGAUAGGACACUUCCCCAUGCUGCUGGAGCGAGAUGCCCCCCUAACGCCAUUGGUAGCAGGCCUGACCGGCACCAGACAGGGUAUCGAGGUGACGGACUGGACGGCAGAUGCAGAGAGGGGUCUGACCUUCAUUGUGUAUGAGCUGGCAGGUGACCCUAGCUACGACGUGAUCCAAUCCUUCUUCCUUUCGCCGGGAGCCUUGUAUGUGCUGGUGGUGAACCUGAGUGCCUACACCCCACAUUGCUUCUACUCUGCAGUGGGCUACUUCCUGCACUGGCUAGGUGCCAAAGUGCCCCAUGCUGUAGUGUGCAUGGUGGGCACGCAUGCUGACCUGUGUGCUGAGCGGGAACUGGAGGAGAAGUGCCUGGACAUCCACCACCAAAUUGCCCUUCAGGAGAAGCGGGAUGCCGAGGGACUCCAGAGCUUGGCCCAGCAGGUGGACAAUGCCCUGGGACAGGACUUUGACCUGCGUUGCUCCAGCCCCCACACUGCCUUCUAUGGGGUUUCAGACAAGAACCUGCGGCGCAAGAAGGCCCAGUUCCAGUAUCUGCUCAACCACCGGCUGCAGAUCCUCUCGCCGGUACUGCCCAUUAGCUGCCAGGACCACUACCAGGUGCGCCGCCUGCGGGACAAGCUUCUGUCAGUAGCUGAGCACCGGGACAUCUUCCCAAACCUGCACCGGGUGCUACCCAAGUCCUGGCAGGUGCUGGAAGAGCUGCACUUCCAGCCGCAGGCUCAGCAACUGUGGCUCAGCUGGUGGGAUUCGGCACGGCUGGGCUUGCAGGCGGGCCUGACCGAGGACCGACUCCAGAGCGCCCUGUCCUAUCUGCAUGAAAGUGGCAAGCUCCUGUACUUCGAGGAGCAUUUGACUCUGCGGGAGUACGUAUUCCACAAUCUGCCUGGGCUCAUUGACAUCCUCAAUGUCUUCUGCCAGCAGGACACCACGGUGCUGCUCCAGAAACUGCUCAGUGACACCCAUAUAGAUGAACUGAGAACCACCCAGCUCCACCACUACGUGGAAGGGUUCCUGCUGCAUGGGCUUCUUCCUGCCCAUGUUAUCCGCCUACUUCUCAAACCCCAUAUCCAGAGCCGGGAGGACCUGCAGCUUAUCCUGGAGCUGCUGGAGAAAAUGGGGCUCUGCUACUGCAUCAAUAAGCCCAAAUGCAAACCCCUGAAUGGAGCCACUGCCUGGUACAAGUUCCCCUGCUAUGUGAAGAACGAGGUGCCCCAUGCAGAGGCAUGGAUUAAUGGUACCAACCUGAGCGGACAGUCUCUUGUCAUUGAACAGUUGCAGAUUGAAUACACCUUCCCCUUCAUUUUCCCAUCUGGGUUAUUUGCACGCUACAGUGUCCAGAUUAACAGCCAUGUGGUUCAGCGGUCCGAUGGCAAAUACCAGAUUUAUGCCUACAGGGGGAAGGUACCUGUGGUGGUGAGUUACAGGCCUGCUAGGAGCACUCAGCAGCCAGAUACUCUGUCUAUUGCUAGUCACGCAUCUCUACCAAAUAUAUGGACAGCCUGGCAAGCUAUUACCCCCUUAGUGGAAGAACUGAAUGUACUGCUUCAAGAAUGGCCAGGUCUGUACUACACUGUGCACGUCCUCUGUUCCAAGUGCCUUAAAAGAGGAUCGCCAAACCCAUACGCUUUUCCAGGAGAAUUGCUGAGUCAGCCUAGACCAGAGGGAGUGACGGAGAUCGUCUGCCCCAGGAAUGGCAGCGAGCGAGUCAAUGUUGCACUGGUUUACCCCCCCACUCCGACAGUCAUCAGCCCUUGUUCCAAGUGAGCUCUGAGAGACGCACGGACCCCCAAUUUCAGUACACGCCAAAAACCCUACAUAAGACAAGCCCUUGCUAAGCAUUUUUGAAAACUAGCCACCACAGAGCCCAGGGACUGUUCUAAUUAUUAGUGGGAUGUGGACAUCCCAUUCUCAGAAUAAAGAGGAAGAAACUAGUGAUUUAUUGCUGUGAUGUUAAGUGAGGAAAAGAAAACCCUGGACUUGAAUCUCUUUCCCAGCUGGAAGACCGUUUCCUGAUAACUCGGCGUGAUCUAUGGACACACUAACAAGAAGAGUUCAGAUGUUUUCAAGGAAUAAAUGCCGUGGCUUGGUAAAGCAGAACUGAGUAAAUGUUUUACACCUGAACCUUAGAAUCAUGAUCAUCCUCCAAGGAAGAGCUGCUUGACAAACGAACUGUGUGAGCGGCUUCUCAGGGAUUCUGUUUGCUGUACACAAAUAGCCAUAAUGUUGGGAUUGAUGGCAGUAUUUAGAGCACUCCAGUUUGUUUCUAUUUCAUGUGGAAGCGGGAUCAUUCACCUGAAGUUCACUGCUGUUCAUUAACUGGUGUGGAACAAUGUGGUUUGUCUUUAUUUUUGUAAUGUGCAAAACCAUUUAAUUUUCUACACAGUUUAAAGCUUCUAGCAUUAGUGACCACUGGGUGCAAUAUUCUGCUUGGUAGCCCUGCCAAAUAGUCCGUGGGUUCUUGGUUUGUUGUCGAUAUGUUCAAGUAUCUAUCACUGUUCUUGUGUCCCUCACACACAAUGUUAGCUCACCAAGUACACUUCAGACUAUCACUAUUGAGCAGCUCACAGGAGCGGCUGCUUCUGGGGACGUUCUCCCCUCUCCGCGGUGAGGAUAUGCUGCCUGAUGUUAAUCAUCCCUGUCUCUCUUCACUUCCAAGAAACCCAAAAGAACCCCCCAGCCUGAGGCAGAACGAGGCAGCCAGAAGAUACUAGUUUGGGAAUACCUUCACUUCCAAGUGCCAUGCUUCAACCCAGCACAAUGGCAAGGAGCAGGGGGACUAGGCAUUCAAUGAAAAUAAUCUGUGACUAAUCACAGGCCAAGCAUCAGUGAAAUUGGUGUCGCUGACCUCGUAGUGGAGGAGAUGGUGCUAAGGUGGGCAGGGAAACCAUACAUUUUCAGCCGGCAUGCACACCCCUCACUGUCAUACUAUGCUUGGGAGUUAAUGAACUGUUGUAAUCAAGCCGGCAUUCUCAACCAGAGAGCAGAAUAUUGUGCUCACUAACCGGUUGCCAGUCUUCAGGUUGCUGUCUGAUCUGUGUUCUACAUAAAUAGCACAGUUCAGAAGGGCAAACCAAUACAUCAUUUACCCUUGGGGCAACAAUGGGAGGCAGACAGCACCAUUAUUCUUUGGGAUGUGACCAGUAGCAUCUUAUAUUGCAUUUGAAAGCAGAAUCCCAGCACUGAAGAGGCAGUUCCAGUUAAAUGAAGCUCAAAUGCAGCAGUCACUCUAUGUGCUUACUUUGUGUGUUGACAGAAAAUGUGCAUAACUAUAUGUACGUAAUCAGUGAGAGCAUGGAAAGGUGGGAACUCUGUCAGUGGAUUUUACUUCACAUGUCUUGUAUAGUGAGAAAUCUGGAGUAUUCUUGCAGUACUGGAUUGUUGCUGGACCACAUACAUCCCUGGUUGUAACUGCAUUGACACCUUUGGAGUUCUUGCCAGAGAGGAGUUUGGAUCCAUAGCCCCAGUUUCCGCUGACUGCUUAGGCUAAGGCCAGGGUUGGGCUGACUAGUCCCUUUUCAACGUGCAUUGUUCUCUCCAGGUUCGGCCUUUGUUAAACGCUUUAGGACUCCGUUUUAAAUCUGAAUACAGCUGAAGUCUAAGAAUUAAUUAAGGUUAACCAGGUUUGUCUGUACUGCAGGCUCUGAAGGCAGCUCAGGGUUUGUGCAACAGGAGUCAGAACCGAAGGAGAUGGUUUCCCUUGGGCAGCCCCCCCGUGUAACUGUAAACCUUAAAAGUAAAGGCAGGUGUAUGUGUUCAGCUUCUCUGGGGACAUGCGCAUGCCUGGUCCCUGCUAUAGGGUUUCUGAUCAGUGGGGGUCAUACCAGGGUGAAUUUUUUUUGUGUGCUGUUACCUAAACCUGCCCAAGUGGCAAAGCCUGUGCCCAGGUGUGACAGGCGCUGUGCUGGCGGGGUGCAGGAAAUGUGUGAGAAUGGCUGAAGAAACAAACAAUUGGAAAUGCUCCUUCGCUGGGCAGGAACAUUCACCCUCUGUGCAGGAAGCUCCUUUCUGUCUCAUCACCUGGGAGCUUUACAGCCAGACUCCCAGGGAGCUCAGCUGCUGCAACCCCAGGCUGGAUCCUGUUGGGACAGCAUCACUGAAAGACCUGUGUCAGGCUCUUCAGGAAAAGGUCAAAGUUCUACUCCAGUAAGCACAAGAGCAACGAUUCUGACCAGGCAGGUCCCCCCAGGCCAGAAACUUCUCCUUGAGGCUGUUCUGUCUUCUGCUUGUGCCUCUUGUGGUAGAAAAGCCAGUUCCCAAGUUUGUGUCCAAGGCACUGCCCACGUGUUUUUCCUUC